CCCGGAUGAGAGCGCACGCUUCGGGGUCUCCGGGAAGUCGCGGCGCCUUCGGAUGUGGCGGAUGCGGCCGUGAGCCGGCGGGGGAGUUCCUCCAGAUCCAGCUGUGCCCUCGCCUGACGUUUGAACGACCACCUGCUCACCUCCUCCCUUUUGCGCGUUGAUUCUUCAGACUUCAAAGGGCCCACCUGUCUGCUUGCCCAACGUUAUUAGUGCCCCUAUUGCUCUACAAAUUCGAACCUCUAACACAAAACCAAUAUUUCUCCGUAGGGAACCUUAAUGAGCCAGGAGAGCAGUCAGCCCUGCAGCCUCCAGGGUACCCCACAUCAAACAGGCUCCCCGGGAACAAGAGGAAUACCACGUGGCUUGGCACACUCGCAGAAUGCCAGAGAGGAGCCAACCCCCAUUUUACAGAUGAGAAAGCUGAGGCUUAGGGAGGAAUUGGUUUACCUAAGACCCUCCCCACAACCCCAAGUAGGCUGAGGCAGAGCUAUGUUGAUUCUUCCUAUUGUGCACCCACACAGAGGCCAACACGCUGCUGAACCAGGCUGAACUGAGGAAAAGCUAGAAAGUCAUCGUGGUUUAUAUCUUGCCUUUCCCAUAGCAGAGACUCUGCCUGACUUUGGAGGCACUGAAUUAUCAGUAGUAAAAACACACUCUGUAGAAAAACUAGACAUUGGUUUAGAUUCUGGCUGUUACCUGUAUUACCUUGGACAAGUCCCUAGAGCUCUCUGAGUCUAUUUCCCAGAAGUAAAAUGGGUCACAAACCUGGCUAGCUCCCCCCAUUCCCUUCCCUUUUGGUGCCAAGGCCAGUGAGGGCAAGCGUGUGACGAGCUUUGCUAACUUUUUCGCUGCAUGUGAUGCCCGUGUAAAAGAUAGUUAUUCUGAGGAUCACUGUCCUUUAGUGAUGAAGUGGGUGCUGUUCCCGGACAUAAAGGCAGACCUGUGCUUGACAUGGAUUGAUCUGUCUUCUGGCAGUGAAGUGCAGGCAUGAACCUUGGUCAGCCCCACACUCUUCUCCAUCCGUAGCCCAUGUACUAGAGUUUGGACUUGGACCGAAGUCUGGGGCAGCUCCCUAAUUACUAGGGUGCUGAAGGCGUGAUUGUGCCAGUCGACUGCGAGUUCCUUCCGCAGCUUGUAUCGUUACCCACUCCUGCAGGUGCUGCUGCUGCCUCCACUGUACUCAGACCCAGGUAGCACAGGAUUGUCCAUCCUCCAGCAGCUCAGUGCAACGGUGUGAACUCCGCCUGUUUCAGAGCCUCCACACCAUGGCUGGAGUGCAAUGGCGCAAUCUCAGCUCACCACAACCUCCGCCUCCCAGGUUCAAGCAAUUCUCCUGCCUCAGCCUCCCGAGUAGCUGGAAUUACGGACCUCCAAGAAGCUGGUGAACUCGGUGGCUGGCUGUGCUGAUGACGCUCUUGCUGGCCUGGUGGCCUGCAACCCCAACCUGCAGCUCUUGCAGGGCCACCGCGUGGCCCUCCGUUCUGACCUGGACAGCCUCAAGGGCCGGGU
RNAcentral lists this small RNA (1509 nucleotides) under Pan troglodytes (chimpanzee). Its description in RNAcentral is "retained intron". The record is from RNAcentral. Lineage: Eukaryota; Metazoa; Chordata; Mammalia; Primates; Hominidae.